This 333-nucleotide ribosomal RNA is filed under the name Escherichia coli. RNAcentral's name for it is "partial 23S ribosomal RNA". It matches the Rfam family "Bacterial large subunit ribosomal RNA", at positions 1 to 361 of the family's 2925-position model. The record is from RNAcentral. Lineage: Bacteria; Pseudomonadati; Pseudomonadota; Gammaproteobacteria; Enterobacterales; Enterobacteriaceae.
GGGUUGUGAGGUUAAGCGACUAAGCGUACACGGUGGAUGCCCUGGCAGUCAGAGGCGAUGAAGGACGUGCUAAUCUGCGAUAAGCGUCGGUAAGGUGAUAUGAACCGUUAUAACCGGCGAUUUCCGAAUGGGGAAACCCAGUGUGAUUCGUCACACUAUCAUUAACUGAAUCCAUAGGUUAAUGAGGCGAACCGGGGGAACUGAAACAUCUAAGUACCCCGAGGAAAAGAAAUCAACCGAGAUUCCCCCAGUAGCGGCGAGCGAACGGGGAGGAGCCCAGAGCCUGAAUCAGUGUGUGUGUUAGUGGAAGCGUCUGGAAAGGCGCGCGAUACA